Molecule: non-coding RNA, 1324 nt
Organism: Cricetulus griseus (Chinese hamster)
Lineage: Eukaryota; Metazoa; Chordata; Mammalia; Rodentia; Cricetidae
Source: RefSeq, a predicted model, not a curated record
GCACCCCUGGUGCGCUCAGCGCCAGGUACUGCUGAAAAGCCGGCCUUACCCCGGUCCUGCAGACCGCUCGCUCUAGGGCCACACCCCCAGCAAGGCUUCCGCUUUUUGUUUUGUUUUGUUUAAAAUAGUAUAUACAUCCUUCAGCAUGCGCCCAAGUCCCUAGUUUGAGAUGCGUUUUCUGACAAUUAAUACACCCAAGCAAACACGCAAACCCAAGCUCAACACUCCGCAUAAAGAGUAAGGGUUCCCCUAGGCCCUCCCCGACGGUGGCGCUCGGCUAGACCUUCCUUCGGGGAUGGAAGCGCCAACUACCGCUGUUACUCAUCGUCCACUCUCAGUGAUGGAAUGGUGGUCGUUCCCAGGGUUCAACUAUCACUAAAGUACUUCCAGACACACUGCAGGACAAACACUUGUGUGGAGCACCUCUGUUUCUCGUUCAUAAAUGCCUACCCUGGAGCAGCAGGACAGGGCGAGCCAAAUGCAGACGGAUCCACUGAAACAUGCAUUCAUUCCUCUUUGGCUUCUCCCGCCCCAGGCCAUCAGGGAUGAUGGUGGAGGGUGAGGAGACAAUGGAACUCAUUAGAAAGAUAGGAAACCUCCAGCUAAAGGGCAAAAGGAAGUAUCAACCAUAUUAUCAGAAGUCAAGUCUGCCCACCUGGGGACAAGUUAAAGCCAUGUGCACUAACAAAGAAGUUACCUAUGAAACACACAGAUCCCUAUGUCAACCUGAGAAUCUCCUUCUGGUGAUGCUAUCUGCUUUGACCUGUGCAUCUGCAGUGGGGUACCCCUGGGCACGUGUAUUGGUCUUUUGUUCCUCAUCUUCCUUUGCUUCAACUUGGAUAUUGGAUGGAUCUAGCUUUACUAAUGACUCUGUGUUUAUGCCUGGACCUUGGGACUGUAAUAUUCAUUCAUCUGAAAAGGGGAUUGCAUUUAAUUCUUCCUUGGGAUUUGAAUCACUUCCCAUUUGCAUAGGACAUCAUGACAUUUGUAUUCCUACUAAAGGGCAAAUAUGGACUUUUAUUCUCUAAGAGCCCAGAACCUCUAGUCAUAUGGAUCUUUUCAAACUAAUCUCUAGGUUUUUCUGAUCAAUAUAAUAAUGUGACUAUUAUAAUCAAUAUAAUAGUGCUUACCGGGCAGAGUUUGGAUCCCUGUUCUUGGUGGCAGAGUGUUACACAACACUUUCACUAUUCUAAUAUUAUUCAUUACAUUUAUAAUUUGCUUGCUCAUAGGCUAUUCAUGCAUCAAAUGACAACUUAUUUAUAUCUCAAAUCAAAACCACACUGGAUAUCCUGUAUUUCAAAAAUAAAAAAGGAAUGCAAGGCAA